GUCAAUCAUCGAAUCUUUGAACGCAAAUUGCACUCUCCGGUUUUCCGGGAGAGUAUGCCUGUUUGAGGGUCGUUAGAAUAAGAAAUAGAGGCGUCGCCCUUUUUUUGAGGGUGAUCGCGUCGGAAUUGAGCCGUCUUUCAAAUGUUAAUUCAUGUCAAAGUGGCUUAAAAUUCAUCCAUGCGGUACGAUUAAAGCGUAGUUAAGAGCAAUUUUGAUUAAGAACGCGCGAUGACGUACCAUCUCAUGUAGUACGUUUGACCUGGGUCGUCAGGUUCAUUCUUAUACGAUACUCGAA
This 295-nucleotide unclassified non-coding RNA is filed under the name Funneliformis mosseae. RNAcentral's name for it is "partial contains 5.8S ribosomal RNA and internal transcribed spacer 2". The stretch from base 1 to 72 matches the Rfam family "5.8S ribosomal RNA", at positions 84 to 154 of the family's 154-position model. Lineage: Eukaryota; Fungi; Glomeromycota; Glomeromycetes; Glomerales; Glomeraceae. The record is from RNAcentral.